UAAAAUAGUUUGGCAGCGAGCGAAUCCUGUUAGGGGAAGGUGUGUUAUAAAGGAUGAUCCGCCUAUUAAUUUACUCUUAUUAUGUUGGUGUAUAUCUGGUUUAAUAUUAUUGUUUAGUAGCUUAAUUUGUGUAUGUUUGUUAUUUAAGCCAAGUCUAUGUGCUGCUUGUAAGAGAUUUCAUGCGUUACAUUUAUAAAUUUAGCUAUGUGAUUGAGUUAAUAAAUUAAGGACUUAAAAGUAAUGUAGAAUCAGUUUGUCUAUGUGAAAUGGGUUUAGCUUGGGU
This 283-nucleotide ribosomal RNA is filed under the name Mesocestoides sp. Squirrel monkey. RNAcentral describes it as "partial 12S ribosomal RNA". Lineage: Eukaryota; Metazoa; Platyhelminthes; Cestoda; Cyclophyllidea; Mesocestoididae. The record is from RNAcentral.